Molecule: long non-coding RNA, 1035 nt
Organism: Micropterus dolomieu (smallmouth bass)
Lineage: Eukaryota; Metazoa; Chordata; Actinopteri; Centrarchiformes; Centrarchidae
Exons: 3
Source: RefSeq, a predicted model, not a curated record
UGCCUGGAUAGGCUGUUAGAAAUCUAAAACCAAAACGCCCUCAAACACCUUAACUGCUUCUUUCUUUUCUCCGGGUCUUUUUGAUUAAUUCGUUGAUUUACAGUAGCUGUCCACUGGCUGUUCGUCGAGGUGAACCUGCAGGCCUGGUCGCUAAGUGAUGCCUAUCUUGUUUGUCAACGAAUUCAACCUGUGCGCAAAAAAAAGUCUAUAGGCUACAAGAAUCAGGUGACAAUGAAGAAAAAUGUCUUCUAGUGUUUUGAAAAGAAUUCUCCUAUCCGGUCACAAAUGUAUAUCCGAUUAGUAUAGGUCGCCUGUCUAUAUGACUCCAAUGGAGCAUAACAGACUUUUUCCGGGAGUUUAGUAUCGGCGGGCGUGUCUCCCCUGCGACUGUAGCGACUUCCUGUUUACCUGCUUUAGCCACAGUGUUGUUCAUGAUGCUGCUGCUUGCGACCGUGUCUGAGGAUGGAGCUGCUCACCCUCUGGCUCUGAACGGGACCCCAAAGAUGUGACUUGGAAGGGGCGGAAGGGUUUGCCCUCGGGCAUGGGAACUUCCACGCUGUCCUCUGACGACACAGUGACAUCUGGCUGUGAUUCAGAGAUAGACGAUAGGAACUGGUCCAUGUCAGCUUUCUGCUCCUGAAGUAGCUCGUCUGCAGAAAUGGGCAAAUGACAAAGCAUGAGAUGGCCUGGCACGUGCUACCACCUGUCAACCUGGGACAUAGCAACAAUGCAUAAGUCACACCGUCCUUGCGCAAAGCUACCUAGGGGCUUCUGACUGAACAUGACUCACCAAUUUCAUCCUGAAUGUCCUCGGCAACAUAAGGUACUUUGUAGAGCAGAGAUAGACUUUGGUUCAUCCUCUCCUCGAUGACACGCAGGUGGGUCAUCACCUGGUGUUGGAAAAACAAACACGGUGUCAUGUAACCAAAACCCUGCUAUAUUUUUAUGAUGACAUCAAAGUGAAACUGCUUCCCUGUAUGGAAAUGUUUUAUUCCCAAGAUCUUAAUAUCUAAUAAUUCAAAACAGCAUAUUGUA